RNAcentral lists this ribosomal RNA (2889 nucleotides) under Candidatus Woesearchaeota archaeon. Its description in RNAcentral is "23S ribosomal RNA". It matches the Rfam family "Archaeal large subunit ribosomal RNA". The record is from RNAcentral. Lineage: Archaea; Nanobdellati; Candidatus Woesearchaeota.
GAUUAGGCUAUUGAGUACUGCUAGAUGGAUGACUAGGUUUGAAACGCCGAUGAAGGACGUGACAAGCUACGAUAUGCUCUGGCGAGUCGAAUGUAGACAUAGAACCAGAGAUCUCCGAAUGAGACUUCUCAUUCAUACCCUUUGGGGUAAGGGAACGCGGGGAACUGAAGCGUCUUAGUACCCGCAGGAAAAGAAAUCAAUUGAGAUGCCGUUAGUAAGAGCGACCGAAAACGGUAUAGUUCAAACUGAAUCCAUUACCGUAAGGUAAUGGAGAUGUGGUGAUGGACUUCCCUUCCGGCCUUUUUGUCGACUUGAAGUUCUCUGGAAUGAGACAUGAUACAGGGUGACAGUCCCGUAAAGGAAAAUAGAAAGGUCUUAGGAAGUAUCCUGAGUAGCACUCCUCGGAAAUGGAGUGUGAAUAUGGGGGGCAUUAACCUCUAAAACUAAACACGUUUCAAAACCGAUAGCGUACGAGUACCGCGAGGGAAAGUUGAAAAGAACCCUUGACUGGGAGUUCAAAGAUUCUGAAAUCUAGCAGUUAUAGUAAGUCAGGGCUCUUAGGAGUUCUGACGUGCUUUUUGAAUAAAGCGCCAGGGAGUGUAUUUCUGUGGCAAGGAUAAUCUGUAAAAGGGUAUCCAGAGCGAAAGCAAAAUCCCGCAGUUUACGAGGGGAGUGGUAUGAAAGUGCCAUAAGUCACAGGAAUACGACCUGAAACCGAGCGAUCUAGUCCUGGGUAAGGUGAAGCGAGGGUAAAACUUCGUGGAGGCCUGCAGAGGUUCUACGUGCAAGUGUUCUUCUAACCUGGGAGUAGGGGUAAAAAGCCAAUCGAGCUCGGAGAUAGCAGGUUCCUGCCGAAAUUGACCUUAGUCAAGCUUCGGACGAGAUUGUUAUAGUUGUAGAGCGACGGAUAAGAGAUUAAGGCGAGGAAACUUGUCGGUCUUUUGUCCAACUCCAAAUGCUAUAACAUCAUAGACUCCGGAAGACAGGGAACCUUGGGGUAAGCUUGGUUUCCGAGAGGGGAACAACCCCGACUAUGGUUAAGGUCCCAAAGUGUCAGCUAAGUGAUAAAGGGUAAACGGUGUUCGUGAUCUGAGACAGCGAGGAGGUUGGCUUAGAAGCAGCCAUCCUUUAAAAAGUGCGUAACAGCUUACUCGUUGAGGUCGUGAGCCCGGAAGAUACACGGGUCUAAGCUGGCCACCGAUACCAUAGACCACGACAAGUGGGCGUAGGCAGGCGUCCUUGUAGGGCAAAAGCUUUUCCGUAAGGAGGAGUGAACCUACAUGGAAUGAAUAUCCUGGUGGUAGUAGGAUCAUAGUACGGUGAGAAUCCGUAUCAUCGAAAGGGCAAGGGUUCCUUGGCAAUGUCGAUCAGCCAAGGGGUAGUCGGUCCUAACCAACCUCUUAUCAGAGGAAAGGGAAAGGGAAAGCGGUUAAUACUCCGCUACUACUUUAGUAUGUGCGGUAACGCAAAUUUUGUUUCUAACGUUUCGGAAUAAGUUAACAUAUCCUGUCAGAUAUGUUAAUACGAAUAAAUCAUGGAAGUAUCGUAAUGAUGGGAACAUGAUUAAAUCGUAGAACAGCAGGCCUAUGGUUUGUUUGACCGAUUUCUGGAGCCCCUGAAAAGGGAACAAAAAUAAAUCUGAAGUAACCGUACCCAGAACCAGCACUGGUGCCCCUAGGUGAGAAGCCUAAGAUGUGAGAGUGUAAUCUAGCUCAGGGAAUUCGGCAAAUUAGUCCCGUACCUUCGGAAGAAGGGAUCCCUGCAUUCGUAUCUGCAUAGAUGCGAGUCCAGGGCGCAGUGACUAGGGUGGUCCGACUGUUUAACAAAAACUUAACCUUCUGCAAGGCUGUAAAGCUGUGUAUAGUCUGCCCAGUGCCAGUACUUUAAGCCUCGUUCCAACGGGGUGAAGAGCUGGUAAACGGCGGGAGUAACUAUAACUCUCUUAAGGUAGCGAAAUGCCUUGUCGUUUGAAUGACGACCCGCAUGAAUGGUAUAACGAGAUCGCCACUGUCCCGAGCUAGAGUCUCCCGAACACUCUUCGCCUGGUGGAAAGGCCAGGGAUUUCCAGUGGGAAGCGAAGACCCCGUGAAACUUUACUGUAGCCUGUCGCUGUAGUGUGGUUUUAGAUAUAUAGCGUAAGUGGGAGCUGUUUGAAGCCGUGGGCGUCAGCAUGCGGCUUAGGCGACGAUGUAACACCACUUAUCCGGAACUAUAUUACUGACCUCUUCGGAGGGACACCGAUUGGUGGACAGUUUGGCUGGGGGGGCACGCUGUCGAAAGGAUAUCGAUAGCGCCCAAUGGUUGGCUCAUCCGGUUUAGAAAUCCGGAGUGGAGUGCAAGGGCAUAAGCCAGCCUGAUUGGAUUUUGAACAUAAAGAAAUCCAAACGCGAAAGCGUGGCCUGACUGAAAAGUUACUCCGGGGAUAACUGAGUUGUCGCGCCCGAGAGUUCAUAUCGACGGCGCGGUUUGCUACUUCGAUGUCGGCUCUUCCUAUCCUGGCGGUGCAGAAUACUCCAUCAAGAAAGGUGGAAUCUGUUGGCUGCCAAGGGUGGGGGUGUUCACCCAUUAAAAGGGAUCGUGAGCUGGGUUCAGAACGCUGUGAGGCAGUUUGUUUGAUAUCUACUGGAAAUGUUGGGUGUCUGAAAGGAAGGAUCCCUUAGUACGAGAGGAACGGGGGUUCGCGGCCUCUGGUCGACCGAUUAUCUGACAAGGUAUGUCGGGCAGCUACGCCGUAGGUGAUAAGUGCUGAACGCAUCUAAGCACGAAACGCCCCUUAAAAAGAGACACCUUAGGACACCGCAAGAACAGCGGUUUGAUAGAAGCGAUGUGUACGCUGGGAGGUAACGACCAGUUCAGCAUGCGCUUACUAACGUCCAUAAAAUUCCUAAU